RNAcentral lists this ribosomal RNA (908 nucleotides) under Aspergillus versicolor. RNAcentral describes it as "LSU rRNA". It matches the Rfam family "Eukaryotic large subunit ribosomal RNA", at positions 38 to 962 of the family's 3401-position model. Lineage: Eukaryota; Fungi; Ascomycota; Eurotiomycetes; Eurotiales; Aspergillaceae. The record is from RNAcentral.
GCAUAUCAAUAAGCGGAGGAAAAGAAACCAACCGGGAUUGCCCCAGUAACGGCGAGUGAAGCGGCAAGAGCUCAAAUUUGAAAUCUGGCCCCUCCGGGGUCCGAGUUGUAAUUUGCAGAGGAUGCUUCGGGUGCGGCCCCUGUCUAAGUGCCCUGGAACGGGCCGUCAGAGAGGGUGAGAAUCCCGUCUUGGGCAGGGUGCCCGUGCCCGUGUGAAGCUCCUUCGACGAGUCGAGUUGUUUGGGAAUGCAGCUCUAAAUGGGUGGUAAAUUUCAUCUAAAGCUAAAUACCGGCCGGAGACCGAUAGCGCACAAGUAGAGUGAUCGAAAGAUGAAAAGCACUUUGAAAAGAGAGUUAAACAGCACGUGAAAUUGUUGAAAGGGAAGCGCUUGCGACCAGACUCGGCCUCGGGGUUCAGCCAGCAUUCGUGCUGGUGUACUUCCCCGGGGCCGGGCCAGCGUCGGUUCGGGCGGCCGGUCAAAGGCCCCAGGAAUGUAUCGUCCUCCGGGACGUCUUAUAGCCUGGGGUGCAAUGCGGCCAGCCUGGACCGAGGAACGCGCUUCGGCACGGACGCUGGCGUAAUGGUUGCAAACGACCCGUCUUGAAACACGGACCAAGGAGUCUAACAUCUACGCGAGUGUUCGGGUGUCAAACCCGUACGCGCAGUGAAAGCGAACGGAGGUGGGAGCCCCUUUGGGGCGCACCAUCGACCGAUCCUGAUGUCUUCGGAUGGAUUUGAGUACGAGCGUAGCUGUGGGGACCCGAAAGAUGGUGAACUAUGCCUGAAUAGGGCGAAGCCAGAGGAAACUCUGGUGGAGGCUCGCAGCGGUUCUGACGUGCAAAUCGAUCGUCAAAUUUGGGUAUAGGGGGCGAAAGACUAAUCGAACCAUCUGGUAGCUGGUUCCUGCC